UACGUAGGGUGCAAGCGUUAAUCGGAAUUACUGGGCGUAAAGCGUGCGCAGGCGGUGAUGUAAGACAGAUGUGAAAUCCCCGGGCUCAACCUGGGAAUUGCGAUGAAGACUGCAAGGCUUGAAUCUGGCAGAGGGGGGUAGAAUUCCACGUGUAGCAGUGAAAUGCGUAGAGAUGUGGAGGAACACCGAUGGCGAAGGCAGCCCCCUGGGUCAAGAUUGACGCUCAUGCACGAAAGCGUGGGGAGCAAACAGG
RNAcentral lists this ribosomal RNA (253 nucleotides) under uncultured bacterium. Its description in RNAcentral is "partial 16S ribosomal RNA". It matches the Rfam family "Bacterial small subunit ribosomal RNA", at positions 524 to 776 of the family's 1533-position model. The record is from RNAcentral.